Transfer RNA from Stereum hirsutum FP-91666 SS1, 73 nucleotides. It matches the Rfam family "tRNA". From Rfam's summary of the family: Transfer RNA (tRNA) molecules are approximately 80 nucleotides in length. Their secondary structure includes four short double-helical elements and three loops (D, anti-codon, and T loops). The record is from Rfam. NCBI's taxonomy places the organism in Eukaryota, Fungi, Basidiomycota, Agaricomycetes, Russulales, Stereaceae.
GCCCUCGUUGUCUAAUGGUCAUGACGUCAGACUUCUAAUCUGGAGGUUGCAAGUUCGAGUCUUGCCGUGGGUG